GUUUCUCUUCCUCUAACAGCUAGAUGGGAAUAUGACCAUAAACCAGAAGAGGGAAGUGAAGAAUGGAAAUUACUGGAUGCAUGCAUCAACCCCAAAGAAUGGAUCUAAUAUUUGCUUUAGGUAAGUUCUAAAUAUGUAGGUUCAGAUGAGCAAUAUGAUAUUCUUGAAGAGGAAGAGGACCUAAUCCGCGGCUUCUUUGCUCAGUCACUCCCUCCCUUCCCUCGUUUUGGUUGUGUAUUCUUGUGUUCCUUUUGAUUGAAAUGUAACAUUUCCAGAUUAGCUUGUUCUUGUGUUCGGAAUAAAUUAGCUUGUUCAUGGCUCGGUA
Molecule: non-coding RNA, 325 nt
Organism: Cucurbita pepo subsp. pepo (vegetable marrow)
Lineage: Eukaryota; Viridiplantae; Streptophyta; Magnoliopsida; Cucurbitales; Cucurbitaceae
Source: RefSeq, a predicted model, not a curated record